This is a long non-coding RNA of Camelus dromedarius (Arabian camel), 7953 nucleotides long. RefSeq lists it as uncharacterized. NCBI's taxonomy places the organism in Eukaryota, Metazoa, Chordata, Mammalia, Artiodactyla, Camelidae. The record is from RefSeq and is a predicted model, not a curated record. The transcript is spliced from 5 exons.
AUGCCGUCAGGGAUGGGGAGCUGACCCAGUGAACGUGGCGGGUGCGCCCCAGAGUCCAGCCCGGGCCGAGGGGUGUCCUCGGUGGCUCGGUGGAAGGGUGGGAGGCAGCACCGGGGAGGAGACUCGCAGUGGGAUCCCUGCUUCAGAGCAGAGGCAGGAAACUGUCAGAAAGGAGCAGAUUCUGGGUUUGCAUAGCCUGAAGUAGCGGUCGUUAUCCGGCUCACGAAUAUCACCACAUCCAGAAGGCCUCACCGUGAUGGUGAAAGGUCUGCACCAAGUUUCAGGAAACAGCUGUAUGUUCCACCUUCUCUGUACUUUCCCAAAAGGAACAGAAAAAGAACAGAUCCCAGUGGGCACAGAAGGCAGGGAGCCAAAGCAUAACUCAGUUAUGGAUCAGUUUCAUUUGGGGAUGUGACUGUGAACUUCACCCAGGAGGAGUGGGGUCAGCUGGACCCUGAUCAGAGGACCUUGUGCAGGGAUGUGAUGCUGGAGAACUACAGCAUCCUCAUCUCACUGGGAAAGUAGAGCUUCUUUGAGUAACACCAUCAGGCAUGUCCUUUCUUUGUUACCAAAGCAUAUGGGUCUUUUGUAGACUUUAAUGAUAUUUAGGUUUGGACACCAGGAAUAUUGUUUGUGUUUUCACUUCCCCUUUGAAAGAUUUCAGUGGGCCCCUUCAUUGUGCACCUCCUGAAGCUGGACCUCAGUUUUUCUUCUGAGUUCCUGAAGCCAGGCAGCUUCUUCUACAUCCUGUAUCACUUUCUAGUAUCAGGGCAUUGCAUUACCAAACCAGAAGAAGCACCAUGGAUAUUAGAGGAAGAAUUCGCAAGCCAGUGUUACCCAGGUGAGUAAUCCAGGGGAAAUUAGAUCCUGCAUUGUUGGUUUAGGUAUAGACAUCUUUGGAGCAUUAAAAAAAAAAAUCUCUUUAGAGGCUCCAUCUGUUUGGAAAUGACCUAAGGAUAUUUAGCCUACAUGCCUCAGAUGCCUAGAUUGACCAGAUACACUCUCAGACAUAAACGUUUUCUUUUUUGUUUGGCUUUUUAAAAGUUUAAUCCCUAUUUCCUGUACCUUAAAUUUCAUUCUUAUCUCAUAGUAAAUAUUUUAUCUGAGUCUGCUUUUCUCUCACAUUCUCAGUUACCCACAUUCCCUCCUAUCAAGGACUUCUUUUGUUUACAGGAAUUAAUUAAUUAAUUUAACCAGUACUAAUUGAGCUCUCACUCCAUGCCAAUCAUGUUCCAAAUGGCAGGGAUACAGCGGAGGGUGAACUAAGUCCCCUGCUCUCAGGGAACUUACAUUUUGGCAGGAGAGAGACACAGGAAGCUGACUGCCCUGUGAGAAAAUGAUUUAGCAUGGCAAAAGUAGAAGCGAGCAGACCAGUCAGGAAGACUGAAAGCACCAUUGACUAGGUUUAAGGGGAGAGAGCAUACAGAGUGAUGGUUCUGGGUGCACAUUGAAGGGAGAGUUAACAAAAUUAGCACCAGGACUCUAACCCACCUCCUCUAAACACUUUCUUCCUCUGAUAAUUUCUUAAAACAACACCCUUGUCUACUUGUUUUCCGUGUCAUAUUUACUGCUUAAUUCUCUGAUUGAACAUAUCUAACUGUGAAUUCCACUCUUGUAAGUCAUCCAUUCUUACUGAACCUUUUUUUCUCUAUUAUGCAUGUUUCUUUCACCACUUCUAUCCAUUUUGGAAGGUACAUUCGUAAAGAGCCACAUAAACAUACGUCCAUUCAUAGCCAACUUUACUCUCCCCUAGUUCAACACAUUAGUUUUGUUUGAUUGGUUGAUUUAUUGUUACCCUUUCCCCUCAGCUUCUCAGAAAAGUGGAGGAAAUGGAAAGUUUUAUUUGGAACUUUUAUCUCAAAAGACUGAUACUAAAACCAAAGAAUCAGAUAAAUGAAGAGCAUUUGUGUAUUAGCCCAAUUUUAUAAGUAGUUUAAUUCGUAAGGUAUGUUUCAUUUUCCUUAUUUUUAGAAGAAUUGAAAAUUGAUGCCAUGAUGGAAAGCAAAGAAAACCAAGACAGACAUUUAUGGUGCACUGAAUUUACCAAUAACAAAAGAGUAAUUACAGAGAAAGAGCGUUUAUUGAGCAAACCAUUUAAUUUUUGCACAGACUGUAUUCCUUCUAGAAAAAUGCCCAGUAAAUGUAGCCUUGAUAGAAUUAGUUGAGAAAAUAUGUCAGAGGUAACCACUAAUAAUAGAAAUUAUUCAGGAAAGAAGUCUCACAUUUCCAAUGGGUAUGAGAAGUUGAUCCCUGAAAUUAAUCAUGAGAAAACUCAUACUAGAGAGAAACUUAGUGAAUUUAAUAAAGAUGAGAGCACUUUCUAUUGUGACAAGGGUUUUAUUCAAGAGAACCACAGUGUGGAGCAACUAUUUGAAUACAAAGACUGUGUUAAAGCACUCCACAGUAAUGCUCUCUCCAUUACACAAGGGGAAACUUCUCACACAGGAGAGAAACUCUGUGAUUAUAAUGAAUGUGAGAAAACCUUCAGGGAUGAGUCAAACCUCAUGUUAUGUCAGAUGAUUUACUCCAGGAAGAACCACUAUAAACUUAAUGAAUAUGGGGAAACCUGUGAUAAGGCAGCCCUCUGGAAGAAACAUCAUAGACUUCACGUGGGUGAGAAAUGUCAUGAGUGUAAGGUACGUGGGAGAACCUUCCUCUGGAAGUCAAACCUCACCGUGCACCAGAGAACACACACAGGAGAAAAACCCUAUCAGUGUAAUGAAUGCGGGAAGUCUUUUUACCAUAAGCCAGCCAUCACUGUACAUCAAAGAAUUCAUAUAGGAGAGAGACCUUAUGAAUGUACCAAGGGUGGGAAAACUUUCUGCCAGAACUCAGCCCUCCAUCAGCAUCAAAGAACUCACACAGGGGAGAAAGGCCUUAUAAAUGUAGUGAGUGUGGAAAAUCUUUCUCCCAAAAGUCAGAUUUGACUGUGCAUCAGAGAUCUCACAUGGGAGAAAAAUGUUAUAAAUGUGAUGAGUGUGAUAAAUCCUUCAGUAUAAAGUCAAAACUCAUGAUACACCUGAAAAUACACUUGGGGAGAAGCCCUGUGAAUGUAGGGGAUGUGAGAAGAUGUAUUAUGUGAAGUCCACCCUCAGUAAACAUAAAAGACUUCACAGAGGGGAGAAAAUAUAUGAAUGCAAUUAAUUUAGGAAGAUCUGCCAUGGGAAGUCAGUGCUCCUUAAACAUGAGAACACAUACAGGAGAGAAAACUUAUGAAUGUGUUGAAUGCAGGAAAAGCUUUUCUGGAAGUCAACCCUCAGUAAACAUCAGAGGAUUCAUACUGGGGAGAAACCAUUUGAAUGUAACAAAUGUGGGAAAGCAUUCUGCCAAAAGUCACAACUCAUUCAACAUCAGAGAAUUCAUACAGGGGGGAAAUCCUAUGAAUGUAAAGAAUGUGGGAGAAUGUUUUGCCGCAAAGGAUCCCUCAGUGUACAUCAGAGAACACACACAGGAGAGAAGCCCUAUGAAUGUGAUGAAUGUGGAAAAUCUUUCUAGGAUAGUUCAACUCUUGUUAAACAUAAGAGAAUUCACUCAAGGGAGAAACCCUCUCAUUGUAACAGAUGUGGGAAGACCUACAGCCACAAACCAACUCUUGCUGCACAUCUGAGAAUACACACAGAAGAAAAAUGAUGGAAAGACCGAGGUGCAAAGCACUCCUACCAUGAUUUAGAGCCUUCGGUGGGACAGGAAGUAUAUCUAGGGAAGAAACUAUGCAUGUAAUGAAUAUGAGAAAUUCUACCAGAAGUCAGCCUUCAGUUUACAUCAGAGAACUCACACAGGGGAGAAACUCUGGCAAUGUUUUUUAUUGUUUGUUUUUCUUUCUUUCUUUUUUAAUCAAUAUGUGUUUCCUUUUCCUACUGGGCACAGAGCUAGUCUAUAUUUCUCUGCUUCUCUACUAUUUCCUGGCAUGUAUUAAUGGGUGUGGCCAUUGUUACUGAACUGCCUAUUCAAUAAGGAAGCCAACAGUAUUUUUGCCAGUCACAUGUUUUCUCUAAUAAUUAUUUACAUACAAAAUAGAGGCUUACAUUCACAAUUUUUACCUUUGGCAUGAGCCUGAAUUUGAGAAAACAGCUGUGAACAGUAAUGCUCAGUAAGAAAACAAGCCCAUCUUUCAAUAUCCUGAAAUGUUUAAAUGAGGAGCCUAAGAUGGUUUGAGUAUGCCAGCCCAAUUUAGAUGUAACCUGGGAGUUACUUCUAUCGUAACAUGCUAUAUAUCUUUGUCUUUACUUCUAGUAUAAGUAACCAUGGUACUGAAGUGGGAGGAAAGGGGGCAGGGCACAACCACUGAAGGAAUGACACAGCCAUUGGGCACAGGACAAACCGGUUAGAACCAAGAUGGCAGAAGAUUCGACUUCUAGUAGACCUGGAGCCUCAUGGUGCACCCCCAGGCGCCAUCACAGUUCCCAGGCUGACCAUAAAAGGUCAAAAAGUGUGGUGGAGGGGGGCAUUUCUUGGAAAUCCUUGCCCCUUCCUCAAAGUAAUUGGAAUAAUCCUCCUACUCAUUAGUAUGUGAAAUUGCUGAGUCCAUAAAACCUAACAACUCCCACACCUCGUGUUCACUCUCGCUCUGUUGCUCUCACCUUCUGAGACAGCCUGCACUCUGCUAUGGAGUGUGUAUCUACUUUUACUUUAAACACCCCACACCUCUCAGCUUCUCUCCCUCUCACCUUUCUGAGAUGGCCCACAUUCUGCCUAUGGAGUGUGUAUCUCCUAAGCCAUUUUCCCUUCUGAGUGAGACAGGCUGCACUCUGUCUAUGGAGUGUGUAUUUCUCUAAAUACACCUACUUUCACUUUACCAUGCCUUGCUCUUGAAUUCUUUCCUGCACGAGGCAAGAACCUUUUCUCCCCCAACAGUAUGGUGCAGAAGUUGGCAGACAUUUUCUGUAACAGGCCAUAUAGUAAACAUUUUAACCCUGUUGGCCUCAUGUGCUUUCUGUCACAUAUUCUUACAACCUGUGAAAAACAUUCUUAGCUUGCGGACCAUUGGAAAACAGGCUACUGGCCAGAUCUGGCCUGAGGGCCAUAGUUCACUGACCCCUGAUAGAGCAGUUCAGAGCCUGGGCUCUGGAACCAGACUUCCUGGACUCAAAUCCUAGUUCUACUACAUACCAGCUGUGUGAGCUGGGGCAAAUCCCUUACAUCCGUUCUUCAGUUGCCUUAUCUGCAAAAUGAUGAUAAUGAUAUUACCUACCGCAUGGGGGUCUAGUGGAGAUUAGGUAAAUUAGUCAAUGUAAAGUACUUAGACCAUUGUAUAGUGUUACAACUGUUAGCUUUUCCAAGACUAGCAUAAUUUCCUUGCAACAGAUUUGUAGGAGCUUUUACAGAUUUUUGAUUUGUUAUUCAACAGCUGUCUCUCACUUAUUCCAUGCCAGCAGAAUGUUGUUUUUGUUUCAUUCUCUGUCUUUCCUAUGUAUGAUGCAAGAGAUAACAAUCUAACCAAUUUUUUUCAGCUUUUUGGAGGUAUAAUUGACAAAUAAAAUUGUAAGAUAUCGUCAGCCCUUCACAUUUGAGAGUUUCAUAUCCACGCAUUCAACCAACCACGAAUCAGAAAUAAUCUAAAAAUAAGUUCUAGAAAGUUCCAAAAAGCAAAACUUGAAUUUGCUGCAUGCCAGCACUAUUUAUAUACUAUUUACAUUGCAUUUACAACUACUUAUAUAGUAUUUGCUUUAUAUUAGGUAUUAUAAUUAAUCUAGAAUUGGUUUAAGUAUACAGGAGGAUGUGUGUAAAUUAUAUGCAGUUACUAUGCCAUUUAUAUAAGAAACUUGAGCAUCCCACAAAUGUCAGUAUCCGAGGUGGGUCCUAGAACCCUUUGAGGACAUUUGGUCCUGUCCAAAACAUCCACUGAGACAUUUGAUCUACAAGAGGUCUUUGCUAUUUGGUCCUAUAUGAGACAUCUGUCCGCACCAAAAAGAUCCUUGAAAUUUGGUCCCAUCCAAAAUGUCCAUUGGGAUAUCGGGACAUUUGGUCCAUGAUUCAUUAAACAAUACAAACAUUUAACUUCAUUAAAAUUUUAUGUUAUUUUUGUUGUAUUUCACGAUGGAUUUUGGAUUUCACAUUAACUCUUCGUCCUCUUCGUGACGUUUUUAGCAGGGUUACUCUGAAGUCAGCGACCAAUUGCUCUUGAGUAUGUUUUGACCUGAUCAUUGGUUUCAUAUUCCUUAUACCUGGGAAUAAUUUCGGUUAUAUGAAAUUGAUUUUGUCAGCAUCGUUGUGAAGUUGGCAGCCAUCUUUGAGUGUGGCCACCAGGAACCUGGGUGAUGACGUGUUCAUUGUUUUGCAGCUCAGCCUUUAGCACUCCAGUAAACUUCCAAAUUGAAGGAUGAUGCACUAUCAGCAGCUUUUGAAAUCUGCUGUGCCAGCCUUUUACUGUGUUGUUUGUCCUGUGAACUCCAUUUAGUACUGAUGUAUAAACCUUCCAGGUUUCUGGUGGAAAUCUUACAGUUUCUGGUCUUCUGCCUCUGCCAUGCCUUCCAGGAACAUAUACUCUUUCAACAUACUCCAUUAGGUUAUCUACAUUAUCUUCUGCAUUCUCCACCGUAUAUUCAAAAGUUUUAUUUACACCAUCCAAAGGCAUAAAUGGAAGUCCAAACAAUAUGGAUGCACACUUACAAGUGUUACUUUCCAUUGUCACAUAUACCAUUGUGACAAUGUACCAUCCAUUUAAGAGGCAAGACAACAAAUGCUAACAUCCUAUGUACUAUGUACUAUGAUCAGUUUAUGAUUUCUGUUUCACUAAAUUCUGUGUUUCUGCUUAUGCCAAAGAUAAUGUUUUAAUUAGUAUGGCUUUGUAAUGCUUUUUUAAUGUAGGGCAUGUUCUUUAUAUUGCUUGAAGGUUUGUUUUUGUUUUUUUUUUUUUUUUUGGUCCAUAUACUUUUUGUUGUCAAAGGAUCCAGCAUUUGGUCUUGUCAAUUAAAAAAAAUUAGUCAUUCUAAUGUAUGUGUAGUGUUAUCUCAUUGUUGUGGUAGACUUGCUUUUGAAAAUAGUUUGGCAGGAUAACAUGAGCCCCUGUGAUCUGGCAAUUUCAUAUGUGCACCAAGAGAUAUUGUAAGAGUAAAAUCAAAAACUAGUAGCAACUGGGACCUUAGUAGACAGAAGAAUGAAUACAUUUACAAUGUUAUAUUCAUAUAAUAGAAUAUUGUGUAGCAGUCUAAAAUAUUUAACUUACUGUAUUACUUAGGGAAGUGUAAAUAGCAAUAAAACUAUAAUGAAUAUCUGGGUAACGAUAAAUAAAUUAUUAAUAGCAGUUACUUUUUUCAGGAUCUUAUUAAGGAGUUGGUUAUACUAUUUUCCUUUGGUUGGGUAAUGUGCAUACCUGUGUCUGUUUUAUUAUUUUUAUCUUAUAUAUGUAUUAUUUACAUUGCAUUCGUUUUAUAGUAGAGGCCAGUGGCAUUGCCUUAUUUCAUAAUGCAAAGAAAUAAGUACUUGAUAGGCAAAAAUGUUAAUUCUCCCUACCCUAAAUGCUUCCAGGCUUUACUCAUGUGUCUUUGUCAUUGAAUGUCAGUGUGCCAUUGAAGGCCUUAAGAGAGGGAAUUCUGCCUCCAGGAACUCAAGCUGAAGCAUCCCUUGAGUCUCAGCCCCGUGGCCUACCCUGCAGAUUUCAGACAUGUCGGCCCCCACAGUCACGUGAGCCAGCCCCUUAAAAUAAACUGUCUUUGUCUACAUACAGACACACACACACACUCACACUCACAUUCAAUUGGUUCUGUUUCUCUGGAGAACUCUAACAUGUCCUUUAUAUCUAUUUUUGAGAUAACAUUAAAAACAUCUGAAAGUGCCUGUCAAAUUGUAGGUACUUAAUAAGCAUGCACGUUUUUUCUCUGACUUCUGCUUUCUAUCAGUGUUGUUUAACAGUUUCAUGUCUUCUUUUCCUGUAUUGGUUAUUUAUUGCUGUGUAACAAAUUACCCCAAAACUUAGUGGCUUACAACAACACUUUUUUUUUUAAUUUUAAAAUU